GACGAACGCUGUCGGCGUGCUUAACACAUGCAAGUCUAACGAAGUGGCGAACGGGUGAGUAACGCGUAAUCAACCUGCCCUUCAGAGGGGUACAACAGUUUGAAACGACUGCUAAUACCGCAUACUGAAGGAGGGGAUUUCGUCUGCUUAGCUAGUUGGAGGGGUAACGGCCCACCAAUGCGAGGAUCAGUAGCGGGGCUGAGAGGAUGAACGGCCACAUUGGGACUGAGACACGGCCCAGACUCCUAAGGGAGGCAGCAGUGGGGAAUCUGCCGAAAUGGACGAAAGUCUGACGGAGCAACGCCGCGUGAGUGAGGACGGCUUUCGGGUUGUAAAGCUAUGUUAAUCGGGACGCGGUACCGGAAUAGAAAGCCAAGGAUAACUACGUGCCAGCAGCCGCGGUAAUAC
RNAcentral lists this ribosomal RNA (408 nucleotides) under uncultured bacterium. Its description in RNAcentral is "partial 16S ribosomal RNA". It matches the Rfam family "Bacterial small subunit ribosomal RNA", at positions 28 to 526 of the family's 1533-position model. The record is from RNAcentral.